This 1293-nucleotide long non-coding RNA is filed under the name Marmota monax (woodchuck). Lineage: Eukaryota; Metazoa; Chordata; Mammalia; Rodentia; Sciuridae. The record is from RNAcentral.
CUAAGAGAAAAAAAGUGAAUAUGGUUUUUGCUCACAGAAUGGAUCACAGCAAGCCACCUUUGGUUAUUCCUACACCCCUGGUGUCCCUCCAGAACCACAGCUGCACUGAAACAGCCACGCCUCUGCCAAGCCAUGACCUGAUGGAUUUAUAUGAGGAGCCCAACUGGAUGAGCAACAGAACAGACCUUCAAUAUGGACUGAAACCGGGGGAAGUGGCCACAGCCAGCAUUUUCUUUGGGGCUCUGUGGUUGUUUUCUAUCUUUGGCAACUCCCUGGUUUGUUUGGUUAUCCAUAGGAGCAGGAGGACUCAGUCUACCACCAACUACUUUGUGGUCUCCAUGGCCUGUGCUGACCUUCUCAUAAGCGUGGCCAGCACUCCAUUUGUCCUGCUCCAGUUCACCACUGGAAGGUGGACAUUGGGUACCGCAAUGUGCAAGAUGGUGCGAUACUUUCAAUAUCUCACCCCAGGUGUCCAGAUCUACGUUCUCCUCUCCAUCUGCAUUGACCGGUUCUACACCAUUGUCUACCCACUGAGCUUCAAGGUGUCCAGAGAAAAAGCCAAGAAAAUGAUUGCAGCAUCAUGGAUCUUUGAUGCAGCCUUUGUGACCCCUGUGUUCUUUUUCUAUGGCUCCAACUGGGACAGUCACUGUAACUAUUUCCUCCCUUCCUCUUGGGAAGGAACUGCUUACACUGUCAUCCACUUCUUGGUGGGCUUUGUGAUUCCAUCUGUCCUCAUAAUCUUAUUUUACCAGAAGGUCAUAAAGUAUAUUUGGAGGAUAGGUACUGAUGGCCGAACAGUGAGGAGGACAAUGAACAUUGUCCCAAGGACAAAAGUGAAAACAGUCAAGAUGUUCCUCAUUUUAAAUCUGUUGUUCUUGUUUUCUUGGCUGCCUUUUCAUGUAGUUCAGCUGUGGCACCCCCAUGAACAUGAUUAUAAGAAAAGUUCCCUUGUUUUCACAGCUGUCACAUGGAUAUCCUUUAGUUCUUCAGCCUCUAAACCUACUCUGUAUUCAAUUUAUAAUGCCAAUUUUAGGAGAGGAAUGAAAGAGACUUUUUGCAUGUCCUCAAUGAAAUGUUACCGAAGCAAUGCCUAUACUAUCACAACAAGUUCAAGGAUGGCCAAAAAGAACUAUGUUGGCAUUUCAGAAAUCCCUCCCAUAGCCAAAACUGUAACCAAAGACUCAAUCUAUGAUUCAUUUGACAGAGAAGCCAAGGAAAAGAAGCUUGCUUGGCCCAUUAACUCAAAUCCACCAAAUACUUUUGUCUGAUUUCUCAGAAUUCUUUCAAUUAUUG